Molecule: long non-coding RNA, 956 nt
Organism: Strongylocentrotus purpuratus (purple sea urchin)
Lineage: Eukaryota; Metazoa; Echinodermata; Echinoidea; Camarodonta; Strongylocentrotidae
Exons: 2
Source: RefSeq, a predicted model, not a curated record
CGCAUGGCUUUCCAUAGUUAACAAAAUUGUUUUCAUGACGACGAAAAUAUUCAUACAAAAUUGAGGUUGGACCGUUCGUGCAUCAUUUUCAGGAAGAAAUUGGAACGCCAUUAGAAGCAGUAUAACAAACUGCAUUGGACCCAUCAAUCCCUGCUCUUAUCUCUCCAUCAAACCUCCCAUCUUGACUGCGGCUGUGCUGUGAUUUCUAGAACUGCAGGGUUCCCGGUCCACAGCAGGCAUGCCAGACAAUAAGAACCAGUUCAAGGAAGUGCUCCCGAAACAGGGCCUGGUCUAUCAGGAGGAACAACCCACCAUGGUCCUUUGCAAACCGAAACUCCUCCCACUCAAGUCCGUGACGUUGGAGAAGAUGGAGAAGAUGCAGAAGGACGCCCAGGACAAGGUCCAGGAGCAGGAGAUGGCAGAGAGGCUUCAGCAGUCUCAAGGAAUCGGUGGCUUCUGAAGUCAAGGCUGUUACCUCAGUGGUUGUUUCUGAACUCAUUAAGAGCUCAUAAUGAGCUGAGAGUGUGAAGUAGAGUUUUUAACUGCCUGAUACUGCUUGUCAAUCAUGCAACGAUCAGAGACAUGGGUGUUUUGUUUUGCUCAAUCCAAAAGCUUAAUCAUCUGUAACCGAUCAUCUUAAAUCAAAAUAACCAAAUUAGAUUUGAUGCAGCGCUUCAGUAAAGUUGUCGCAGAAUAUAGUGAUAAAUUCAGAAAUUGGUCACAAGGUCUGUCACUUAAAGAUUUGAAAUAUUUUGUGUCAGAUGUAAUGCCUAUAAAAGGAAUUCUUCACUUUCCUGCAUGAAAUAUAUGGUUUCAUGGUAGGAUAUUGUCUGUUGCAUGCUGAUAGCCAGGAGGGUAUUAACUUUCGGGUACUCACUUUGAUUAGAUUUAACAUCCUUCUCUGUCAUGAAGAGAUAAUAUUUGUAUUCUGUUCAACUAGUGUACACAAUUUAGAC